This 1088-nucleotide long non-coding RNA is filed under the name Olea europaea (common olive). Its description in RNAcentral is "long non-coding RNA (OEUR_LNC013516)". The record is from RNAcentral. Lineage: Eukaryota; Viridiplantae; Streptophyta; Magnoliopsida; Lamiales; Oleaceae.
AAACAUAAAUUAUUUAUCAUAAAUCACAAUUCGCAAAUAUAAUUUCAUAAACAUAAAUUUCCAAAACAAUAAUUAUAACUCAUAAAACAUAGAUUACUUAUCAUAAUUCAUAAAUCACAAUUCGCAAUUUUUUAAUUCCCAAAUGAAUAAAUCAUAACAUAUUUAACAUUAACUUAAGUCACUGACCAUAGCCAUGUUAACACAACUAAAUGAAAUCCCAUACCUUUCAAUUUUUAUUUUUUUAUUUUUUUACAAGAUUUCACUUUCCAUAACUUUAGUAGUUAGCACCCUGAGCAUAUUUGUAUUCCAUAGGACCACAGCAGCAGAUUCUCUAAAAUAAAAAAAUUAUUUUAUAUCAGACAUUGUGAAAAUUAAAUUUUCCUUUAGGCUUUAGCAGUUAGCACGUACAAUAAAAUAAUGCCCAAUUACCAAACAGAUAAUAAAAGUAAAUUUAGCAGUUAGCACACACAAAUUACAAUACAAGAAAACUAAAUUUGCCAAUUUAGCACUUAGCACAUACAAACAAGUGCGGGACGAACUGACAAAGGAAGAAGUGUCUCGUCACUCCUGUGCAAGGCAGGGGCGAACCAGUGGUCCAACAUCGCCGUGUCUCGUGUGUAGGGCAAGGGCGAACCGACGAAGGAAGAAGCGAAGAAAUUGGAAAAGGGUUUUUGCAAUUUGGCUUCCCUCUUCCAACCUUCCACGAUUUGGGAAAUGGGAGUUGAUUUGGGCAUUUCAGAAUUCUGAUUCAAUUUUAUUGGCUAAUUAGACUUUGAUAAAUUGAAUAAUUUUCAUUUAACAAUUGGGCUAACAAUAAGAGGCCCAAAAUUUGAAGCCCUACCCAAACCCAAAAAAAAAAAAAGAGAAGAAAAUGGCCCUCUUCUCCCUUCGUCUUCCUUCCUUCUCCAGAGACAGAGAGACUCCGGCGCUUCUGCAACUGGUGCUACCCAAUAGUUCUAAAGAUUCCGGUAGAGCCAGCACACUCGAUCAUGCCCCCUUGCCGAGUGUUGGCUCCGCGCCUGCAAGCAGUCAUAUGUGGAAGAUUACCAAUCAAUUAUGUAAUUAAUUUUCAUAUUUGUUAUCCUGUA